Molecule: RNA transcript, 2496 nt
Organism: Zingiber officinale
Lineage: Eukaryota; Viridiplantae; Streptophyta; Magnoliopsida; Zingiberales; Zingiberaceae
Exons: 11
Source: RefSeq, a predicted model, not a curated record
CGCGCGCAGUUUUACUUUCCCUCUCUCUUUUCGGCGCCAUGUUUUCCCCUUCGCAUUCCCGACCCCUAGCCAUUUUUCUUUCCCUCUCCUCAUACAAUCUCUUCACGCUAUCCUAUCGACCGACUGUCCGCCUCCGCCUCCGCCUCCGCCUCCGCUGGAUCUUCCUCUACGACGGUCAAAGAAGGGGAAGGGCAUGAGAUUGAAUGGAGGAAGGGGAGAAGGCGGGGCGGGAGUAAGAUGAGCGCCGCCGCGAUCGCUCCUCCCGUCGAGGAUCUCAUGCCCUUGAGCCGCUCCUCGCCGUGCGAUGGAUGAGACGUAGGGUUCCGUCGGAACCACAACCAGCUUGUCCCUCAGGUUGGGGCAGGCGAUCUUCUCCUCCGCCGCCCUACUCCUCAUGUCCGUCGGCGUCAAGUUCUACAGCUAUACUGCUUUCUGCUGAUAACGCGGCACCUGCCGAGGAGCUCCAGCAUCGUGAGCCUACGGGAGGCGUGCGAGGAUGACGGAGUUGUGCAUUUGGUCAUGGAGUUGUGUGAGGGCGGGGAGCUCUUUGACCGCAUUGUGGCGAGGGGCCACUAGUCAGAGCGCGCGGCAGCUGUGGUCAUGAAGACCAUUGUUGAGGUCGUGCAGCUCUGCCAUUGCCAUGGGGUGAUCCAUCGAGACCUCGAGCCAGAGAAUUUCUUGUUUUCAAACAAGAAGGAGAACUCACCCUUGAAGGCAAUUGACUUUGGGCUGUCAAUAUUCUUCCAGCCUGCUGAUAACGCGGCACCUGCCGAGGAGCUCCAGCAUCGUGAGCCUACGGGAGGCGUGCGAGGACGACGGAGUUGUGCAUUUGGUCAUGGAGCUGUGUGAGGGCGGGGAGCUCUUUGACCGCAUUGUGGCGAGGGGCCACUAGUCAGAGCGCGCGGCAGCUGUGGUCAUGAAGACCAUUGUUGAGGUCGUGCAGCUCUGCCAUUGCCAAGGGGUGAUCCAUCGAGACCUCGAGCCAGAGAAUUUCUUGUUUGCAAACAAGAAGGAGAACUCGCCCUUGAAGGCAAUUGACUUUGGGUUGUCAAUAUUCUUCCAGCCUAGUGAAUGAUUUUCUGAGAUAGUUGGAAGCCCUUAUUACAUGGCUCCAUAAGUUUUUAAAUGGAAUUAUGGACCAGAAAUUGAUAUAUCAAGUGCUGGAGUUAUACUCUAUAUCUUACUGUGUGGAGUUCCCCUAUUUUGGGCUGAAACUGCACAGGGAGUUGCACAAGCAAUUCUUGUUGUACGAAGGAGCUUGAAAUUGUUCAAUUCGAACAAGGAAAGGAGAGGAAAAAAGAAGCCUACGUGGAAAGUUGUAAAGGGUCCUCGACAACCUAAUGCGAAACAAUGUGAGUUUUAUGUGAUGAAAUUUAUGAGAGAAAUUAUUGAAGGAAAUGCUACCAGCGAGAAGGAUUCACUUAGCUCAAUGUGAUGCUUUAUUGAAAGAAAUUAAGGCGACGGUAGUUCGACAUCCAGAUACUUUGACUAUGGAAACUAUAAAAGAAGGCAAUAAGGGCUAUGCUGCAGAGAUUUUGGUUGUCACAUACAAUCAACAUAUGGAGGAUGUAGAUGACCAAUCAAAGUUUAGGAUACUUCUGAGCUUUGGACAGCAUGGGAGAGAACUUAUUACCUCUGAGGUAGCUUGGCAACUACUUUCUGUUUUAGCCAAAGAAUGUAAUAUGCAAAGAGUGGAUCUUAUGUUCAUCCACAAACUGCUGGAUAACCUUGUCGUAAAGGUAACAUAAAACAAGAACUUGAAAGAAAAUCUUUUGACAGAUCAUACAAAUACUAAAUCCUGAAAUCACCAGUCAUUUGUUAGUUUUACACUUUUCUUAGAUAAAUUGUUUUUAGAUCAUUGUAAUUUCAAGUCAUACCAGAACUCUGAACUGGAUGAUAUGCAUUAGUCACUUGAAAAUAUCUUUCAUUUUAUCCCUCUCAUUUUAAAAUCAGUUCUGAAUUCUGCUCUUCUUUAGUUCCUGUAUCUACUGUUAGUUUUUAUUACAUUAGUUCCUAUUUUUAGACCAUUAAGCCUAACUCCCUCACUAUUGAAGUAUAAAUGCAGGUGCACAUGGUAGUUUCUUAUGUCACUUUCUAUAAAAGGUUUAAAAGUGAUUGAUAUGGUGCACAUGGAAGUUACCAAGACAACUCUAAACAUUGAGUGUUGUCCUGGAAUUUUGGAAAUUCUUCUCUCAUGUCCAGAUAUUAGAGCUAUGUGAAAUAUUUAUUCUCUGUUUACAGUUCAUGCAGUACUUACUACAAUUCUCUUUUUUCUUAUAUUUUAUAUUUUUCUUUGAUAAGUUUUGUUUAAUUUUUCUCUUAUAGGUACGUAACUCGGGCAAUUCGUGAGGCUUGAGAUUUUUGAUGCAAGGAGUGAGCUUUGUUAGGUUUUAUCUUGCCUUGCUAAUGUGUAAAAGUCAUAUGAAAAACAGUAAUGGAAAGCAUGUGAUUUAUGGUUUGAUACUACUAAGUUUGAUGAGUACAACUCAUUUUGUA